GGGUUGGGGCUGCAGCUCAGUGGUAGAGCAUCUGCUUUGCAUGUAGAAGGUCCUAGGUUGGGGGUCUGCAACCUGCGGCUCUCCA
Molecule: transfer RNA, 85 nt
Filed under: Sphaerodactylus townsendi
Lineage: Eukaryota; Metazoa; Chordata; Lepidosauria; Squamata; Sphaerodactylidae
Description: tRNA-Ala
Source: RNAcentral